AGGAUUAUAGUUUAAUUUUUAAAACAUUUGAUUUGCAUUCAAAAAAUAUUAAAUAUUUAAUUUAUCUUA
RNAcentral lists this transfer RNA (69 nucleotides) under Lemyra melli. RNAcentral describes it as "tRNA-Ala". The record is from RNAcentral. Lineage: Eukaryota; Metazoa; Arthropoda; Insecta; Lepidoptera; Erebidae.